This 292-nucleotide ribosomal RNA is filed under the name uncultured bacterium. Its description in RNAcentral is "partial 16S ribosomal RNA". It matches the Rfam family "Bacterial small subunit ribosomal RNA", at positions 505 to 796 of the family's 1533-position model. The record is from RNAcentral.
GUGCCAGCAGCCGCGGUAAUACGGAGGGAGCUAGCGUUGUUCGGAAUUACUGGGCGUAAAGCGCACGUAGGCGGCGAUUCAAGUCAGAGGUGAAAGCCCGGGGCUCAACCCCGGAACUGCCUUUGAAACUAGAUCGCUAGAAUCCUGGAGAGGCGGGUGGAAUUCCGAGUGUAGAGGUGAAAUUCGUAGAUAUUCGGAAGAACACCAGUGGCGAAGGCGGCCCGCUGGACAGGUAUUGACGCUGAGGUGCGAAAGCGUGGGGAGCAAACAGGAUUAGAAACCCGGGUAGUCC